CGCACAUUGCGCCCCUUGGUAUUCCGAGGGGCAUGCCUGUUCGAGCGUCAUUUAAACCAUCAAGCCUAGCUUGGCUUUGGACUGGGCCCUGGUGCCUCGUCUAAAACCCUUGUUGGCGUUCCCGUCGAGCUUCAAGCGUAGCAAGUAAAACAUCGCUUCAAGGCUGCUGGCGGGAGCCGCUCACAGAGUUACCCCCAUAGUUUGACCUCGGAUCAGGUAGGGAUACCCGCUGAACUUAA
This 239-nucleotide unclassified non-coding RNA is filed under the name Hysteriales sp. RNAcentral describes it as "partial contains 5.8S ribosomal RNA, internal transcribed spacer 2, and large subunit ribosomal RNA". Lineage: Eukaryota; Fungi; Ascomycota; Dothideomycetes; Hysteriales. The record is from RNAcentral.